Molecule: ribosomal RNA, 107 nt
Filed under: Meriones unguiculatus (Mongolian gerbil)
Lineage: Eukaryota; Metazoa; Chordata; Mammalia; Rodentia; Muridae
Source: RNAcentral
GACUUUGGGAAUAUCACUUUAGACCUUGUUUGACCUCAGAAGCUAAGCCAGAUCAGACCUGGUUAGUACUUGAGUAGGAGACCCAGAAAUACUGGAUGCUGUAGACU